This is a long non-coding RNA of Oncorhynchus tshawytscha (Chinook salmon), 1548 nucleotides long. Lineage: Eukaryota; Metazoa; Chordata; Actinopteri; Salmoniformes; Salmonidae. The record is from Ensembl.
AGAAAGAUGCUGAAUGGGCGAGAAACGAAGGCUUGGAAUCUGAAACUGCAUCAGUGCUAGAGCAAGCAUUUGAAACCUUCACAAGCAGUCAAGCUUUUGAGUAUGGGGCGGGGAAAAGUUACAACAAGCCAAUAGAGUUCAACCAAGAGGACAAUAUGUCAUAUGAAUCCACUCAAGCCUCCCACGGUUCAGAAGAGGCAUUUCGCCAUGUUAAAAGACUGGAGGAAGAUGUUAUUCAUCUCCCAAAAGAGGAUGAAAAUGAUAUGUCUAACAAACAUGAGGAGCAAUUGGAAGAUGAAUUGCACCCCUAUGGGUAUGGUAACGAUGAUUGUGAAAGAUUGGGAGGAUUCAUUAAGGAAAAUGACAUGACAGAAAGAAUCGAUAAGUUCAACCAAGAGGAGAUUAUCUCAUAUGAAUCUGCUCAAGCUUCUCACUGGUCAGAAGAGGUAUUUCACCAUGUUGAAAGAGUGGAGGAAGGUGACAUAAAUUUCACAAAAGUGGAUGAUGAAAAUGAUAUGUCUAACAAACGUGAGGAACAACAUGCACUGAACCCCAAUGGGGAUGUAAAGGAUGAAUGGGAUCGAGUGGCAGGGUACAAUGAAGAGAAUGGAAUUGGAGAAAGAAUGGAUGAUUGGAAAGAAGCAAAGUAUCAUGUGAAAGAGGAAGAGAUGUGGAAUAACAGAGAAGCCCAACCCAAUCGGUCUGAUCAAGAGUAUAUACCUUCAAAUGAAGAGAAACAAAAUCUAUUCGAGCAAGAGCAAAUACCUUCAGGCAGAGAGAAACUGAAUCAGUCUGAGCAAAGGUAUAUCAAUUCAAACGGAGAGAAACUGAAUCAAUCUGAGCAAGAACAUAUACCUUCAGGCGGAGAGAAACUGAAUCAAUCCGAGCCAGAGUACAUAACUUCAGGCGGAGAGAAACAGAACGUAAAUGCACAAGAACACAUAACAACAGACGGAGAGAAAAUGAAUCAAUCCGAGUCAGAGUAUAUACCUUCAGGCGGAGAGAAACUGAAUCAAUCUGAACAAGAGGAUAUAACUUCAGGCGGCGAGACACUGGAUAUAUGUGAGCAAGAACAUAUACCCUCAGACAGAGAGAAAAUGAAUCAAUCCGAGCAAGAAAAUAUACCUUUAGGUGGAGAAAAACUGAAUCAAUUCGAGCAAGAAAAUAUACCUUUAGGUGGACAGAAACUGAAUCAAUUCGAGCCAGAGUAUAUAAUUUCAGGCGGAGAGAAACUGAAUCAAUCUGAACAAGAGAAUAUACCUUUAGGUGGAGAGAAACUGAAUCAAUCCGAGCCAGAGUACAUAACUUCAGGCGGAGAGAAACUGAAUCUAUAUGUGCAAGAACACAUACCCUCAGACAGAGAGGAACUGAAUCAAUCUGAACAAGAGGAUAUAACUUCAGGCGGCGAGACACUGGAUAUAUGUGAGCAAGAACAUAUACCCUCAGACAGAGAGAAAAUGAAUCAAUCCGAGCAAGAAAAUAUACCUUUAGGUGGAGAAAAACUGAAUCAAUUCGAGCAAGAAAAUAUACCUUUAGGUGGACAGAAAC